CAAAACAGCAACCAGAUCUCCUGUCCAGAGGGGGAAAGGAGAAGCAAGUGGGGAGAGAAGUUACAGGCUCCUAAACCUGCCCAGGCUGGAAAAUAACAUCCAGGUUUCACUCCACAUUUUCCCACUCUCCCUGGGGAUAGCGAAGGGAAAUGGCUGCAGCAUAACAGGCACAG
Non-coding RNA from Chrysemys picta bellii (western painted turtle), 173 nucleotides. NCBI's taxonomy places the organism in Eukaryota, Metazoa, Chordata, Testudines, Emydidae. The record is from RefSeq and is a predicted model, not a curated record.